AGUGGUACAGUUUAAGGUCGAAAAAGUAAAAGUGGUACAGUUUUAGGUAAAAAAAGUUAAAAUGGUACAGUUUUAGGUAAAAAAAAGUAAAAGUGGUACAGUUUAAGGUAAUAACAUAAAAGUGGUACAGUUUAAGGUAAUAACAUAAAAGUGGUACAGUUUAAGGUAAUAACAUAAAAGUGGUACAGGUUAAGGUAAAAAAAGUUAAAGUGGUACAGUUUUAGGUAAAAAAAAAAAAGUAAAAGUGGUACAGUUUUAGGUAAAAAAAGUUAAAAUGGUACAGUUUUAGGUAAAAAAAAGUAAAAGUGGUACAGUUUAAGGUAAUAACAUAAAAGUGGUACAGUUUAAGGUAAUAACAUAAAAGUGGUACAGUUUAAGGUAAAAAAGUAAAAGUGGUACAGUUUAAGGUAAAACAGUUAAUGUGGUACAGUUUUAGUACAAACAAGUCUUGUAUACGAAACAAGUAGAAAUUUUAUUUUUCAUCUACUUUGAAUUUGACUGUUUUCUUAAUAUUUGUGUAAAUGAGAGAUUUCAAAAGCAUGAUCAACAGAUUUUACAUAAGUCUUACUUUUUUCCACUUUAUGAGGGUUGAAGGGAUUGAAAUUGAACCUUAACAUCGAAAUGACUGUGUCCAGUAUUUUGCUAUGUCUAGUGCUAUAGUGUGUCUACAGUAGAUUUUAUAAACAUUUCUGGUGCCUUCAUUUUAUUAUGA
Mytilus californianus (California mussel) is the source of this 712-nucleotide long non-coding RNA. RefSeq lists it as uncharacterized. NCBI's taxonomy places the organism in Eukaryota, Metazoa, Mollusca, Bivalvia, Mytilida, Mytilidae. The transcript has 3 exons. The record is from RefSeq and is a predicted model, not a curated record.